Molecule: ribosomal RNA, 775 nt
Filed under: Pseudolepraria stephaniana
Lineage: Eukaryota; Fungi; Ascomycota; Lecanoromycetes; Lecanorales; Ramalinaceae
Description: SSU rRNA
Source: RNAcentral
UGGAGGAUGUAUAGCUGCGGCUAAUUGUGUAUUAAUACACAAGAUCGACUCCRUCGAAUAAAAUUCUGGGUAAAUUAUGAUGAUGACAUUUUUUACCCAUGUGUCUUGACCAAAUUGUGUGCCAGCAGUCGCGGUAAUACAUAGAAGACUAGUGUUAUUCAUCUUUAAUAGGUUUAAAGAGUACUUAGACGGUAAAUCAAGCCCUAAACGGGACUAAUUUGCUAGAGUUACUUAUGAGGGGGUUUUAAAGUACUAAUGGUGUAGAGAUAAAAUUUUGUAAUACCAUUUUUCGUAAUGAAAAAUUAUGGCACUGGUAAAGGUGAAAGCAUCCCCCUAUGUGAUAACUGACGUUGAAGGACGAAGGCUUUGGGUCGCGAAUAGGAUUAGAUACCCUAGUAGUCAAAGCAGAAAAUUAUGAGUGUCAUAGAUUAGACAAGAUAGUUUAUUCUAUAAAUGAAAGUGUAAGCACUCCACCUCAAGAGUAAUUUGGCAACAUUGGAACUGAAAUCAUUAGACCGUUUCUGAAACCAGUAGUGAAGUAUGUUGUUUAAUUCGAUGAUCCGCGAAAAACCUUACCACAAUUUGAAUAUAUAUAUCGUUGAUAUAUUUACAAGCGUUGCACGGCUGUCUUCAGUUAAUGUCGUGAGACUUUGGUUAGAUCCAUUAAAUUAACGUAAGCCCUUACUUUAUUUUUAUAUAAAGUAGUUCUCCACUAUAUUGGAUAAGAUAACAGGGACUAAGACAAGUCAUCAUGGCCUGAAUAUUGUGGGCUAUA